UUGUUGAGGGCAAAUAAAGUGAAUAUGGGCAUCUAUUGCCCCGGCGGUCAGUAUCUGACCUUCCCCGGCGAUAAUUUCAGUGCCUGGACCUAUUAUGAUGGAGACAUCGGGUUGAAUAUCUGGGUUUCCGGCUUUUCCGAUAGAAUGAAUCCUGCCAUUUUUUAAUCCGACAUCCGCUUUAACAAUGCCCCAGUGAUCGAGAAUAAGCGCAUUGGUAAUAACUGUGUCCAUUGACUCGGCAUCACCAACCUGACUUUGCCCCAUACCAUCGCG
RNAcentral lists this small RNA (273 nucleotides) under marine eukaryotic metagenome. Its description in RNAcentral is "5' ureB small RNA". It matches the Rfam family "5' ureB small RNA". The record is from RNAcentral.